UACGUAGGGGGCAAGCGUUAUCCGGAUUUACUGGGUGUAAAGGGAGCGUAGGCGGCUUAGUAAGUCAGAAGUGAAAGCCCGCAGCUCAACUGCGGGACUGCUUUUGAAACUGCCAGGCUAGAGUGUCGGAGAGGUAAGUGGAAUUCCUAGUGUAGCGGUGAAAUGCGUAGAUAUUAGGAGGAACACCAGUGGCGAAGGCAGCUCACUGGACUGCAACUGACACUGAGGCUCGAAAGUGUGGGUAUCAAACAGG
Molecule: ribosomal RNA, 253 nt
Filed under: uncultured Coprococcus sp.
Lineage: Bacteria; Bacillati; Bacillota; Clostridia; Lachnospirales; Lachnospiraceae
Description: partial 16S ribosomal RNA
Rfam family: Bacterial small subunit ribosomal RNA
Source: RNAcentral